This 148-nucleotide non-coding RNA is filed under the name Homo sapiens (human). Lineage: Eukaryota; Metazoa; Chordata; Mammalia; Primates; Hominidae. The record is from Rfam by way of RNAcentral.
GCGGGGCGUGGUGGCGGAUGCCUGUAAUCCCAGCUACCUGGGAGGCUGAGGCAGGAGAAUUGCUUGAACCCAGGAGGCAGAGGUUGCAGUGAGCCGAGAUCGUGCCACUGCACUCCAGCCUGGGUAACAGAGCAAGACUCUGUCUCCA